This 290-nucleotide long non-coding RNA is filed under the name Malus domestica (apple). RNAcentral's name for it is "long non-coding RNA (MDOM_LNC006347)". Lineage: Eukaryota; Viridiplantae; Streptophyta; Magnoliopsida; Rosales; Rosaceae. The record is from RNAcentral.
GCCUGCUUCCGACGAGCAACCCACUCCCGUGGUCCAGCCUGCUUCUUUCGAGCAGCCCACUCUCACGGCCCAGCCUGCUCCCGUGGCUUUCCAAGCAGCCCAAGUCGGCCCAAGAUUAUCUCAACCAUCCGGACCUACCAUCGAGCCGGGGGCAUUCUCACCACAUUUUUUCGCGGAUUUGACAUUUCCUAACUCAAAUCUCGCGCUCGGAGUCUACCACCUUUCCACUGCCCAAGGAGGCGCAUUCCUUCCAAGCUCUUCCAAUCCAAAUGGCGAACAACACUUGUCUC